RNAcentral lists this unclassified non-coding RNA (414 nucleotides) under Hevea brasiliensis (rubber tree). The record is from RNAcentral. Lineage: Eukaryota; Viridiplantae; Streptophyta; Magnoliopsida; Malpighiales; Euphorbiaceae.
CAUUCAUCUACCUGGAAGUACAAUAUGCAAAUGAAAGAAAAGAAAAAUACAAAUCUAACAUCAAAAGAAAAAGUGAGACAUGCUCCAGGAAAACCUUGGCAACUUCUCAAAGUUGUUACUCGUCGGACUUGAACAUAGACCUAUGCCUCUAAUGGCUAACUGAGAGAAAAGUAACUAAACAUAUAUCAGUGGAACAAGGGGCUUAAAAUACUAACUCCAAUAUGCAAAUGAAAGAAAAGAAAAAUACAAAUCUAACAUCAAAAGAAAAAGUGAGACAUGCUCCAGGAAAACCUUGGCAACUUCUCAAAGUUGUUACUCGUCGGACUUGAACAUAGACCUAUGCCUCUAAUGGCUAACUGAGAGAAAAGUAACUAAACAUAUAUCAGUGGAACAAGGGGCUUAAAAUACUAACUC